UUAGGAACAGAGAGUAAGGCUGUGCCCUAAGAGACUGGUCAAAAUGGCCAGGUAAUAGGAGAAACCAUCAAGCUAAUUAACACAAGAGCACAGACAGCAUAUAAACAAACAUGCACACUAACACCCAGGAUGGAUAUAUCUAAGUUUGCUCAUCAGACCGAAAGUUUUCCAAUCUGGCAUGCUCCAGACUGCCAAGUGACAAAUAACAAAAGAAGCUAUG
Molecule: long non-coding RNA, 220 nt
Filed under: Homo sapiens (human)
Lineage: Eukaryota; Metazoa; Chordata; Mammalia; Primates; Hominidae
Description: HSALNT0092446
Source: RNAcentral